UUCAUGGAGAGUUUGAUCCUGGCUCAGGACGAACGCUGGCGGCGUGCCUAAUACAUGCAAGUCGAGCGGAUAGAUGGGAGCUUGCUCCCUGAUGUCAGCGGCGGACGGGUGAGUAACACGUGGGUAACCUGCCUGUAAGACUGGGAUAACUCCGGGAAACCGGGGCUAAUACCGGAUGCUUGAUUGAACCGCAUGGUUCAAUUAUAAAAGGUGGCUUCGGCUACCACUUACAGAUGGACCCGCGGCGCAUUAGCUAGUUGGUGAGGUAACGGCUCACCAAGGCGACGAUGCGUAGCCGACCUGAGAGGGUGAUCGGCCACACUGGGACUGAGACACGG
This 338-nucleotide ribosomal RNA is filed under the name Bacillus paralicheniformis. Its description in RNAcentral is "bacterial SSU rRNA". It matches the Rfam family "Bacterial small subunit ribosomal RNA", at positions 1 to 329 of the family's 1533-position model. Lineage: Bacteria; Bacillati; Bacillota; Bacilli; Caryophanales; Bacillaceae. The record is from RNAcentral.